UGAAGAAAGGAAACAGUUAAUACAGCUACGAGAUAUUUUAAAAUCAGCACUCCAGGUUGAACAAAAAGAGGAUUCACAAAUUCGGCAAAGUACAACCUAUAGUUUACACCAACCUCAGGGAAAUAAAGAACAUGGGACUGAAAGGAAUGGUAAUCUCUACAAGAAAAGUGAUGGGAUCAGAAAAGUAUGGCAAAAAAGGAAAUGCUCAGUUAAAAACGGUUUUCUGACAAUAUCCCAUGGUACAG
Long non-coding RNA from Vombatus ursinus (common wombat), 245 nucleotides. RefSeq lists it as uncharacterized. The record is from RefSeq and is a predicted model, not a curated record. Lineage: Eukaryota; Metazoa; Chordata; Mammalia; Diprotodontia; Vombatidae. The transcript is spliced from 3 exons.